RNAcentral lists this ribosomal RNA (30 nucleotides) under Clavispora lusitaniae. RNAcentral describes it as "partial 28S ribosomal RNA". Lineage: Eukaryota; Fungi; Ascomycota; Pichiomycetes; Serinales; Metschnikowiaceae. The record is from RNAcentral.
UUUCGCCCUCAAAUCAGGUAGGACUACCCG